CCAUCAACGAUGAGCGGGAAGAGUAGGUCAGGACGCCUUGACAGAGAGGAGAAUCAAAGCUGAGAGAUUCUCUAGGUUGGGAAUGGCUGAAUGUCGCCCAGGAGUUGUUCCGAUGAGACCAUUGUAGUCGGAAGCGGUUCGCAGCCGUUAUCUUGUUUGAGGGAACACCCGAGUCUGCAAGGCUUGGCGUGUUAACAAAGGUGGUACCGCGAAAUGAUCCUUUCGUCCUUUGG
Molecule: non-coding RNA, 233 nt
Filed under: Brevibacillus panacihumi
Lineage: Bacteria; Bacillati; Bacillota; Bacilli; Caryophanales; Paenibacillaceae
Description: T-box sequence
Rfam family: T-box leader
About the family: Uncharged tRNA acts as the effector for transcription antitermination of genes in the T-box leader family. T-boxes are found upstream of many aminoacyl-tRNA synthetase genes and some amino acid biosynthetic genes usually in Gram-positive bacteria. The anticodon of a specific tRNA base pairs to a specifier sequence within the T-box motif, and the NCCA acceptor tail of the tRNA base pairs to a conserved bulge in the T-box antiterminator hairpin.
Source: RNAcentral